UACGUAGGGGGCAAGCGUUGUCCGGAUUUACUGGGCGUAAAGCGCCUGUAGGCGGCCUGUCAAGUCCGGCCUGAAAGCCCCCCGCUCAACGGGGGAGGGUGGCUGGAAACUGGCAGGCUUGAGGGCGAGAGAGGAGGGUGGAAUUCCUGGUGUAGCGGUGAAAUGCGCAGAUAUCGGGAGGAACACCAAUGGCGAAGGCAGCUCGCUGGGACGUGACUGACGCUGAGACGCGAAAGCGUGGGGAGCAAACAGG
This 253-nucleotide ribosomal RNA is filed under the name uncultured bacterium. RNAcentral's name for it is "partial 16S ribosomal RNA". It matches the Rfam family "Bacterial small subunit ribosomal RNA", at positions 524 to 776 of the family's 1533-position model. The record is from RNAcentral.